AGAGUUUGAUCCUGGCUCAGGAUGAACGCUGGCGGUCUGCUUAACACAUGCAAGUCGAACGGGGAACUUCGGUUCCUAGUGGCGGACGGGUGAGUAACGCGUGAGAAUCUGCCUUCAGGUCGGGGACAACAGCUGGAAACGGCUGCUAAUACCGGAUGUGCCGAAGGGUGAAAGAUUUAUUGCCUGAAGAAGAGCUCGCGUCUGAUUAGCUAGUUGGUAGGGUAAAAGCCUACCAAGGCAUCGAUCAGUAGCUGGUCUGAGAGGAUGAUCAGCCACACUGGGACUGAGACACGGCCCAGACUCCUACGGGAGGCAGCAGUGGGGAAUUUUCCGCAAUGGGCGAAAGCCUGACGGAGCAAGACCGCGUGGGGGAGGAAGGUUCUUGGAUUGUAAACCCCUUUUCUCAGGGAAGAACACAAUGACGGUACCUGAGGAAUCAGCAUCGGCUAACUCCGUGCCAGCAGCCGCGGUAAUACGGAGGAUGCAAGCGUUAUCCGGAUUUAUUGGGCGUAAAGCGUCCGCAGGUGGCUAUUCAAGUCUGCUGUCAAAGCUCGGAGCUUAACUCCGAAUCGGCGGUGGAAACUGAACAGCUAGAGUGCAGUAGGGGUAGAGGGAAUUCCCAGUGUAGCGGUGAAAUGCGUAGAGAUUGGGAAGAACACCGGUGGCGAAAGCGCUCUACUGGACUGCAACUGACACUCAGGGACGAAAGCUAGGGGAGCGAAUGGGAUUAGAUACCCUAGUAGUCC
RNAcentral lists this ribosomal RNA (746 nucleotides) under uncultured bacterium. Its description in RNAcentral is "bacterial SSU rRNA". It matches the Rfam family "Bacterial small subunit ribosomal RNA", at positions 8 to 796 of the family's 1533-position model. The record is from RNAcentral.